GGCACUUUGGCGGAGUGGUUAACGCGAUGCCCUGCUAUUAAUUAAAUUGAUGGACUAGGCAUUCCCUUCGGGGGCGUGUGUUCGAAUCACACAGGUGUCG
Daldinia vernicosa is the source of this 100-nucleotide non-coding RNA. The record is from the annotation of a RefSeq genome assembly. Lineage: Eukaryota; Fungi; Ascomycota; Sordariomycetes; Xylariales; Hypoxylaceae.